This 486-nucleotide ribosomal RNA is filed under the name uncultured Lachnospiraceae bacterium. RNAcentral describes it as "bacterial SSU rRNA". It matches the Rfam family "Bacterial small subunit ribosomal RNA", at positions 8 to 507 of the family's 1533-position model. Lineage: Bacteria; Bacillati; Bacillota; Clostridia; Lachnospirales; Lachnospiraceae. The record is from RNAcentral.
AGAGUUUGAUCCUGGCUCAGGAUGAACGCUGGCGGCGUGCUUAACACAUGCAAGUCGAACGGACAGGUAAUGAAACCUAAUGAUUUAUCUGUUAGUGGCGGACGGGUGAGUAACGCGUGGGUAACCUGCCGUAUACAGGGGGAUAACACUUAGAAAUAGGUGCUAAAACCGCAUAAGCGCACAGGAUCGCAUGGUCUGGUGUGAAAACUCCGGUGGUAUACGAUGGACCCGCGUCUGAUUAGCUUGUUGUGGGGUAGAGGCCCACCAAGGCGACGAUCAGUAGCCGGCCUGAGAGGGUGAACGGCCACAUUGGGGCUGAGACACGGCCCAAACUCCUACGGGAGGCAGCAGUGGGGAAUAUUGCACAAUGGGGGAAACCCUGAUGCAGCGACGCCGCGUGAGUGAAGAAGUAUUUCGGUAUGUAAAGCUCUAUCAGCAGGAAAGAAAAUGACGGUACCUGACUAAGAAGCCCCGGCUAACUACGUG